Molecule: long non-coding RNA, 746 nt
Organism: Polistes dominula (European paper wasp)
Lineage: Eukaryota; Metazoa; Arthropoda; Insecta; Hymenoptera; Vespidae
Source: RefSeq, a predicted model, not a curated record
UAUCACCUUCACAAUCUGACAAUAGUAAUCGAUCCAUCGAUGAGGAAUUAUUGGAAUGUUCACCAAGGUAUGUAGCAUUGAAGGAUCUCUUUCUACCACGAGAAGAAAUCAAACUCACUAUAACGAAUCAUCGACACGCAUCUAUAUACGAAUUUUCUCUGGCACCUAAUUACAGCUGCGAGGACGGGAGUUAUCUUGAAAAUCGUGACGAUGAAUACGAAUACUCAGAGAGAACGGGAGAAGAAUCUUACAUUAAACCAAAACGUUUCGAUUUUUACAAUAUCGACAGAAACGGGACAUAUUGUGACCUCGAUCAGGAUGAUUACGAGAGGAACGAGACUGAUUUACAUUCGCAAUCAAUUCGCAGGAUCAAUUCGAACGGUAAGAUAGAUCACGAUUGUGGGACAGGUGAGGAGAUACAGUGAGUUCUCGUUUCGAUGAUUAUGAUCGUUCUAACAUCGUAAAAUGCAUCUCGAAUGAUAAGAGAGAAAUCGAAUAAGAAGAAAAUAAUGAAGAUGGGAUUCAAGAAGUGGAGAUCAAGGAGGGAUGAAGAUAUGAAUACAGUCUAUAAAUGGUUGUACUAGUCAACUUGUAUAAAGAUAGAAGGAAAACACGUGGGGGACUUUUAGAAAGAAUAAAAAUAAUAAAACAAUAAGUAUAAAAGAGAAACGAAGAUUGUGGUAUUUUAAUUGACAGGUAAAAUUAAAUAAAGUUUCACCGUUGCAUAAAAAUAUCUUUGAGAGAGA